CUCAUCUUGGGCAUCAUGUAGAAUUGGGAUGAAAAUUGAAAGUUUUCUCAAGUCUUAUUUUCGAAUUUUACUGCAUCAAGUACUAGGUCAUGGAUUAAUAGAAGCUGCUCAACCUGAUUCAAAUGAGCCUUCACAACCCAUUGCUGCCACUGCACAUGUUGAUAUAUGAGUUCAUGAGUAAUGGGAGCUUGGCAAACCUUCUAUAUUAGUUAUUUGUGGAUGAGUCUAGCAGCAGCAGGAGCAGAGAAGAACCAUUCAAUUGCUUCACUGCUGCUGCUUUGUUUUUUGGGGUCAGGGCAAUUAAGAAGCAGAAAGCUAGUUAGGAAACUAUGCAAUAUUGUCUCAAGAACUAUGAUAUGUACUAAAUAUUUGAGUAGCUGAGGUUGCAGGAGAGGACGCAUAUAAACAUUUGUCAAUGUUUGUAUUUUGUUGCGUGUCUUGUUCAUUGUUUAGUGCUAUGGGAUGUUUGGAUAUUUUGUUUUUUUUUUUUUUUUUUAUCGUUUAGUGCUGUGGGAUGUUUGGAACCGUGUGCUUCUAGUGCCAUGGGAUGAGAAUAGGUAGAUCUUUUAGAUAAGAAUCUUUAUGACU
This is a long non-coding RNA of Quercus lobata, 588 nucleotides long. RefSeq lists it as uncharacterized. The record is from RefSeq and is a predicted model, not a curated record. NCBI's taxonomy places the organism in Eukaryota, Viridiplantae, Streptophyta, Magnoliopsida, Fagales, Fagaceae. The transcript is spliced from 4 exons.